UGGGGAAUAUUGGUCAAUGGGGGAAACCCUGAACCAGCGACGCCGCGUGAGGGAAGAAGGUUUUCGGAUUGUAAACCUCUGUCUUCGGGGACGAAUGAAUGACGGUACCCGAGGAGGAAGCCACGGCUAACUACGUGCCAGCAGCCGCGGUAAUACGUAGGUGGCAAGCGUUGUCCGGAAUUACUGGGUGUAAAGGGAGCGUAGGCGGGAAGAUAAGUUGUAUGUUAAAUCGAUCGGCUCAACCGGUCGUCGCGUGCAAAACUGUCUUUCUUGAGUGGAGUAGAGGCAAGCGGAAUUCCUAGUGUAGCGGUGAAAUGCGUAGAUAUUAGGAGGAACACCAGUGGCGAAGGCGGCUUGCUGGGCUUUUACUGACGCUGAGGCUCGAAAGCAUGGGUAGCAAACA
RNAcentral lists this ribosomal RNA (403 nucleotides) under uncultured Acetanaerobacterium sp. RNAcentral describes it as "partial 16S ribosomal RNA". It matches the Rfam family "Bacterial small subunit ribosomal RNA", at positions 355 to 774 of the family's 1533-position model. The record is from RNAcentral. Lineage: Bacteria; Bacillati; Bacillota; Clostridia; Eubacteriales; Oscillospiraceae.